GAUGAACGCUGGCGGCGUGCCUAAUACAUGCAAGUCGAGCGAACAGACGAGGAGCUUGCUCCUCUGACGUUAGCGGCGGACGGGUGAGUAACACGUGGAUAACCUACCUAUAAGACUGGGAUAACUUCGGGAAACCGGAGCUAAUACCGGAUAAUAUAUUGAACCGCAUGGUUCAAUAGUGAAAGACGGUUUUGCUGUCACUUCUAGAUGGAUCCGCGCCGCAUUAGCUAGUUGGUAAGGUAACGGCUUACCAAGGCAACGAUGCGUAGCCGACCUGAGAGGGUGAUCGGCCACACUGGAACUGAGACACGGUCCAGACUCCUACGGGAGGCAGCAGUAGGGAAUCUUCCGCAAUGGGCGAAAGCCUGACGGAGCAACGCCGCGUGAGUGAUGAAGGUCUUCGGAUCGUAAAACUCUGUUAUGAGGGAAGAACAAAUGUGUAAGUAACUAUGCACGUCUUGACGGUACCUAAUCAGAAAGCCACGGCUAACUACGUG
This 497-nucleotide ribosomal RNA is filed under the name uncultured bacterium. RNAcentral's name for it is "partial 16S ribosomal RNA". It matches the Rfam family "Bacterial small subunit ribosomal RNA", at positions 28 to 507 of the family's 1533-position model. The record is from RNAcentral.